UACGGGGGGGGUAAGCGUUGUUCGGAAUUACUGGGCGUAAAGGGCUCGUAGGCGGCCAACUAAGUCAGACGUGAAAUCCCUCAGCUCAACUCCAGAACUGCCUUCGAUACUGGAGAGCUUGAGUCCGGGAGAGGUGAGUGGAACUGCGAGUGUAGAGGUGAAAUUCGUAGAUAUUCGCAAGAACACCAGUGGCGAAGGCGGCUCACUGGCCCGGUACUGACGCUGAGGUGCGAAAGCGUGGGGAGCAAACAGG
Molecule: ribosomal RNA, 253 nt
Filed under: uncultured bacterium
Lineage: Bacteria
Description: partial 16S ribosomal RNA
Rfam family: Bacterial small subunit ribosomal RNA
Source: RNAcentral